UGGGGAAUAUUGCACAAUGAGGGCAACCCUGAUGCAGCGACGCCGCGUGAACGAAGAAGUUAUUCGUAUCGUAAUGUUCUGUCCUAUGGGACGAUAAUGACAGUACCAUAGAAGAAAGCUCCGUCUAAAUACGUGCCAGCAGCCGCGGUAAUACGUAUGGAGCGAGCGUUGUCCGGAAUGAUUGGGCGUAAAGGGUACGCAGGCGGUUUAAUAAGUCGAAUGUGAAAGAUCGGGGCUCAACCCCGCAAAGCAUUGGAAACUGAUAAACUUGAGUAGUGGAUGGGAGAGAGGAAUUCCAAGUGGAGUGGUGAAAUACGUAGAGAGUAGGAGGAAUAGCAGAAGCGAGGGCGACUUUCUGGACACAAAAAGACACUGAGGUACGAAAGAAUGGGGAGCAAACAAG
Molecule: ribosomal RNA, 403 nt
Filed under: bacterium
Lineage: Bacteria
Description: partial 16S ribosomal RNA
Rfam family: Bacterial small subunit ribosomal RNA
Source: RNAcentral